GAUGAACGCUGGCGGCGUGCUUAACACAUGCAAGUCGAACGAAGCAUUUAGGACAGCUUACUUCGGUUUGAAGUUCUUUAUGACUGAGUGGCGGACGGGUGAGUAACGCGUGGGUAACCUGCCUUGUACUGGGGGAUAGCAGCUGGAAACGGCUGGUAAUACCGCAUAAGCGCACAAUGUUGCAUGACUUGGUGUGAAAAACUCCGGUGGUAUAAGAUGGACCCGCGUCUGAUUAGCUAGUUGGUGAGAUAACAGCCCACCAAGGCGACGAUCCGUAGCCGACCUGAGAGAGUGACCGGCCACAUUGGGACUGAGACACAGCCCAGACUCCUGCGGGAAGCAGCAGUGGGGAAUAUUGCACAAUGGAGGAAACGCUGAUGCAGCGACGCCGCGUGAGUGAAGAAGUAAUUCGUGAUGUAAAGCUCUAUCAGCAGGGAAGAUAGUGACGGUACCUGACGAAGAAGCUCCGGCUAAAUACGUG
This 481-nucleotide ribosomal RNA is filed under the name uncultured bacterium. Its description in RNAcentral is "partial 16S ribosomal RNA". It matches the Rfam family "Bacterial small subunit ribosomal RNA", at positions 28 to 507 of the family's 1533-position model. The record is from RNAcentral.